This 24-nucleotide non-coding RNA is filed under the name Cricetulus griseus (Chinese hamster). The record is from RNAcentral. Lineage: Eukaryota; Metazoa; Chordata; Mammalia; Rodentia; Cricetidae.
UGAAUCGAUCCCUGCUGCUGGAGG